AUGAACGCUGGCGGCGUGCCUAAUACCUGCAAGUCGAGCGAACAGACGAGGAUCUUGCUCCUCUGACGUUAGCGGCGGACGGGUGAGUAACACGUGGAUAACCUACCUAUAAGACUGGGAUAACUUCGGGAAACCGGAGCUAAUACCGGAUAAUAUAUUUAACCGCAUGGUUCAAUAGUGAAAGACGGUUUUGCUGUCACUUAUAGAUGGAUCCGCGCCGCAUUAGCUAGUUGGUAAGGUAACGGCUUACCAAGGCAACGAUGCGUAGCCGACCUGAGAGGGUGAUAGGCAACACUGGAACUGAGAAACGGUCCAGACUCCUACGGGAGGCAGCAGUAGGGAAUCUUCCGCAAUGGGCGAAAGCCUGACGGAGCAACGCCGCGUGAGUGAUGAAGGUCUUCGGAUCGUAAAACUCUGUUAUUAGGGAAGAACAAAUGUGUAAGUAACUAUGCACGUCUUGACGGUACCUAAUCAGAAAGCCACGGCUAACUACGUG
Molecule: ribosomal RNA, 496 nt
Filed under: uncultured bacterium
Lineage: Bacteria
Description: partial 16S ribosomal RNA
Rfam family: Bacterial small subunit ribosomal RNA
Source: RNAcentral